This 348-nucleotide unclassified non-coding RNA is filed under the name soil metagenome. RNAcentral's name for it is "partial contains 5.8S ribosomal RNA, internal transcribed spacer 2, and large subunit ribosomal RNA". The stretch from base 1 to 120 matches the Rfam family "5.8S ribosomal RNA", at positions 35 to 154 of the family's 154-position model. The record is from RNAcentral.
GAUGAAGAACGCAGCGAAAUGCGAUAAGUAAUGUGAACUGCAGAAUUCAGUGAAUCAUCGAGUCUUUGAACGCACAUUGCGCCCCCUGGUAUUCCGGGGGGCAUGCCUGUCCGAGCGUCAUUGCUGCCCAUCAAGCACGGCUUGUGUGUUGGGUCCUCGUCCCCCCCGGGGGACGUGCCCGAAAGGCAGCGGCGGCACCGCGUCCGGUCCUCGAGCGUAUGGGGCUUUGUCACCCGCUCUGCAGGCCCGGCCGGCGCUGGCCGACGCGAAAGCAACCAUUUUUUCUCCAGGUUGACCUCGGAUCAGGUAGGGAUACCCGCUGAACUUAAGCAUAUCAAUAACGGAGGA